UGUAUUGUGCUAAUUUUAAGUGGAUAAUAAUAUGAGAAAGGCAAUAUAUCUGUAACUUGAUCCGCGCUGAAUAGAAUGAUAAGUGGUGGCCAAAAAUAAGAGAAGUAAAUAAAUAAUUCGUCUCAAAUCCACUUCGGUUCACUAAAAAAAUUGAGCAAGAGGCGGGGCCGCAGGAGAUCCAUUUCUUCUUUUGAUCUGCCCUAAUCAGCCAAGAAUUCGCAAAAAAAACCUGCUCUUGCCCCGAAUGGGAUGGUAAAUGAGAACUAAAAACAGAAGAAAAAUUAACACGUCCCUAAUCCGCCAAAAAAUUCAGGCGUGAGGUGAGAGAUGUUCAAGAGUAUGUAUAUAUGUAGUAGGGCUACUAUACUCUUAUAAGUAUAAAACUCUUCGUACUCAUAAGUUGUUUUCGAUAUUGGGGUUUUCAAAUUGACGAUCCACACAGUUAAAUAUAAUCUAGAGUAUUUGAAACUUUUAGAAAAUAAAUUUCGUAAUUUUCCAAAUCAUUAUAAAGUCCAUCAAACGGGUAUAAAAUGAACGGUUAAAAUCGAACGACAUCCUAAAAAUAGAUGCUCGGAUCCUUCAAUUGUAGAUCCGAGUUAUUAAUCUUUAUUUAGUUAGUGAAUAGAAUUUUCUAUCAAAAAUUCAAUCUAUUCCGAUUCUUUUACACCGUUAAACUAGCAAAUAUUUCAUACCGGUCGUUAAAAAUUGUUAAUUUUGCGAGCUUUUGAUCGUAUGGUAAAUGAUAUCGAAAAAUUGAAAAAUUAUAAAAUUUGAUUUCUAAAAGUUUUAAAUUCUCUAGAUAAUAUAUAACGGUAUGGAUCGUCGAUUUAGAAGCUCUAUCAUAGAAAACAACUUAUGAGUAGGAAGGCGAUCGUACUCAUAAGAGUAUAGUAGCCGGACUCUAUAUAUAUAUAUAUAUAUAGAGAGAGAGAGAGAGAGAGAGAGGGUUGAGCUAGAACACUUCUAAAAGUAUCAAGAGGAUGGUGCUUGUGAGUUUUUAGCCCUUGGUUAGAGAAAUGUAGGGUUGGGAUGAUAGUGGUAGGUGAAAUAGUGUUUGAUCCAAGGGUUAUUAGUAAUCAAGGAGUAGAUCCAAGGGCUAAAAACCUAAUAGCACCAAAAGGGUAAUACUUGUAAAAGUAUUCUAGCUCAAUUCUAUAUAUAUAUAUAUAUAUAUAUAUAUAUAU
Molecule: long non-coding RNA, 1184 nt
Filed under: Ananas comosus (pineapple)
Lineage: Eukaryota; Viridiplantae; Streptophyta; Magnoliopsida; Poales; Bromeliaceae
Description: long non-coding RNA (ACOM_LNC028709)
Source: RNAcentral